Molecule: ribosomal RNA, 676 nt
Filed under: uncultured bacterium
Lineage: Bacteria
Description: bacterial SSU rRNA
Rfam family: Bacterial small subunit ribosomal RNA
Source: RNAcentral
AAAUUCCGAUGGUAGAGAUGGGGCAUGCGUUGUAUUAGCUAGUUGGUGGGGUAACGGCUCACCAAGGCGACGAUACAUAGGGGGACUGAGAGGUUAACCCCCCACACUGGUACUGAGACACGGACCAGACUCCUACGGGAGGCAGCAGUGAGGAAUAUUGGUCAAUGGACGCAAGUCUGAACCAGCCAUGCCGCGUGCAGGAUGACGGCUCUAUGAGUUGUAAACUGCUUUUGUACGGGGGUAAACGCAGAUACGUGUAUCUGUCUGAAAGUAUCGUACGAAUAAGGAUCGGCUAACUCCGUGCCAGCAGCCGCGGUAAUACGGAGGAUUCAAGCGUUAUCCGGAUUUAUUGGGUUUAAAGGGUGCGUAGGCGGUUUGAUAAGUUAGAGGUGAAAUUUCGGGGCUCAACCCUGAACGUGCCUCUAAUACUGUUGAGCUAGAGAGUAGUUGCGGUAGGCGGAAUGUAUGGUGUAGCGGUGAAAUGCUUAGAGAUCAUACAGAACACCGAUUGCGAAGGCAGCUUACCAAACUAUAUCUGACGUUGAGGCACGAAAGCGUGGGGAGCAAACAGGAUUAGAUACCCUGGUAGUCCACGCAGUAAACGAUGAUAACUCGUUGUCGGCGAUACACAGUCGGUGACUAAGCGAAAGCGAUAAGUUAUCCACCUGGGGAGUAC